This 443-nucleotide ribosomal RNA is filed under the name uncultured Hyphomonadaceae bacterium. RNAcentral describes it as "bacterial SSU rRNA". It matches the Rfam family "Bacterial small subunit ribosomal RNA", at positions 29 to 505 of the family's 1533-position model. Lineage: Bacteria; Pseudomonadati; Pseudomonadota; Alphaproteobacteria; Hyphomonadales; Hyphomonadaceae. The record is from RNAcentral.
AACGAACGCUGGCGGCGUGCUUAAUACAUGCAAGUCGAACGAGAACUAGGAGCUUGCUCCUAGGGACAGUGGCAGACGGGUGAGUAACGCGUGGCAACCUACCCUUCGGUGGGGGACAACAGUUGGAAACGACUGCUAAUACCCCAUACGUCCUACGGGAGAAAGAUUCAUCGCCGAUGGAUGGGGCCGCGUUAGAUUAGCUUGUUGGUGGGGUAAAGGCCUACCAAGGCGACGAUCUAUAGCGGGUCUGAGAGGAUGAUCCGCCACACUGGGACUGAGACACGGCCCAGACUCCUACGGGAGGCAGCAGUAGGGAAUAUUGGACAAUGGGCGAAAGCCUGAUCCAGCAACGCCGCGUGAAUGAUGAAGGCCUUAGGGUUGUAAAAUUCUUUCGCUAGGGAAGAUAAUGACUGUACCUAGUAAAGAAGCCCCGGCUAACUCCG